Molecule: transfer RNA, 72 nt
Filed under: Felis catus (domestic cat)
Lineage: Eukaryota; Metazoa; Chordata; Mammalia; Carnivora; Felidae
Rfam family: tRNA
About the family: Transfer RNA (tRNA) molecules are approximately 80 nucleotides in length. Their secondary structure includes four short double-helical elements and three loops (D, anti-codon, and T loops). Further hydrogen bonds mediate the characteristic L-shaped molecular structure. tRNAs have two regions of fundamental functional importance: the anti-codon, which is responsible for specific mRNA codon recognition, and the 3' end, to which the tRNAs corresponding amino acid is attached (by aminoacyl-tRNA synthetases). tRNAs cope with the degeneracy of the genetic code in two manners: having more than one tRNA (with a specific anti-codon) for a particular amino acid; and 'wobble' base-pairing, i.e. permitting non-standard base-pairing at the 3rd anti-codon position.
Source: Rfam by way of RNAcentral
GCCUGGCUGGCUCAGUGGGUAGAGCAUGUGACUCUUGACCUUAGGAUCGUGAGUUCAAACCCACGUUGGACA